UACGAAGGGGGCUAGCGUUGUUCGGAAUCACUGGGCUUAAAGGGCGCGUAGGCGGGCGGUCAAGUCAGAGGUGAAAUCCCACGGCUCAACCGUGGAAGUGCCCCUGAUACUGAUCGCCUCGAGGGAGGUAGGGGCGUGCGGAACUUCCGGUGGAGCGGUGAAAUGCGUAGAUAUCGGAAGGAACACCGAUGGCGAAAGCAGCGCGCUGGACCUUUACUGACGCUGAGGCGCGAAAGCCAGGGGAGCAAACGGG
RNAcentral lists this ribosomal RNA (253 nucleotides) under uncultured bacterium. RNAcentral's name for it is "partial 16S ribosomal RNA". It matches the Rfam family "Bacterial small subunit ribosomal RNA", at positions 524 to 776 of the family's 1533-position model. The record is from RNAcentral.